This 503-nucleotide ribosomal RNA is filed under the name uncultured bacterium. RNAcentral describes it as "partial 16S ribosomal RNA". It matches the Rfam family "Bacterial small subunit ribosomal RNA", at positions 30 to 523 of the family's 1533-position model. The record is from RNAcentral.
AUUGAACGCUGGCGGCAGGCUUAACACAUGCAAGUCGAGCGGAGUGAUGGUGCUUGCACUAUCACUUAGCGGCGGACGGGUGAGUAAUGCUUAGGAAUCUGCCUAUUAGUGGGGGACAACAUCUCGAAAGGGAUGCUAAUACCGCAUACGUCCUACGGGAGAAAGCAGGGGAUCACUUGUGACCUUGCGCUAAUAGAUGAGCCUAAGUCGGAUUAGCUAGUUGGUGGGGUAAAGGCCUACCAAGGCGACGAUCUGUAGCGGGUCUGAGAGGAGGAUCCGCCACACUGGGACUGAUACACGGCCCAGACUCCUACGGGAGGCAGCAGUGGGGAAUAUUGGACAAUGGGGGGAACCCUGAUCCAGCCAUGCCGCGUGUGUGAAGAAGGCCUUAUGGUUGUAAAGCACUUUAAGCGAGGAGGAGGCUCUUUUGGUUAAUACCCAAGAUGAGUGGACGUUACUCGCAGAAUAAGCACCGGCUAACUCUGUGCCAGCCGCCGCAGUAA